UGCCCUUUGUACACACCGCCCGUCGCUACUACCGAUUGAAUGGCUCAGUGAGGCCUUCGGACUGGCCCAGGGAGGUCGGCAACGACCACCCAGGGCCGGAAAGUUCGUCAAACUUGGUCAUUUAGAGGAAGUAAAAGUCGUAACAAGGUCUCCGUAGGUGAACCUGCGGAGGGAUCAUUA
Molecule: ribosomal RNA, 180 nt
Filed under: Toxicocladosporium banksiae
Lineage: Eukaryota; Fungi; Ascomycota; Dothideomycetes; Cladosporiales; Cladosporiaceae
Description: partial 18S ribosomal RNA
Rfam family: Eukaryotic small subunit ribosomal RNA
Source: RNAcentral